GACGAACGCUGGCGGCGUGCUUAACACAUGCAAGUCGAACGGAAAGGCCCUGCUUUUGUGGGGUGCUCGAGUGGCGAACGGGUGAGUAACACGUGAGUAACCUGCCCUUGACUUUGGGAUAACUUCAGGAAACUGGGGCUAAUACCGGAUAGGAUCUCCUGCUGCAUGGUGGGGGUUGGAAAGUUUCGGCGGUUGGGGAUGGACUCGCGGCUUAUCAGCUUGUUGGUGGGGUAGUGGCUUACCCAGGCUUUGAAGGGUAGCCGGCCUGAGAGGGUGACCGGCCACAUUGGGACUGAGGUAGGGCGCAGACGCGUACGGGGGGCAGCGGGGGGGAAUAUGGCACAAUGGGCGGGAGCCUGAUGCAGCGACGCCGCGUGCGGGAUGACGGCUUUCGGGUUGUGAACCGCUUUCGCCUGUGACGAAGCGUGAGUGACGGUAAUGGGUAAAGAAGCACCGGCUAACUACGUG
Molecule: ribosomal RNA, 468 nt
Filed under: uncultured bacterium
Lineage: Bacteria
Description: partial 16S ribosomal RNA
Rfam family: Bacterial small subunit ribosomal RNA
Source: RNAcentral